UACGUAUGGUGCAAGCGUUAUCCGGAUUUACUGGGUGUAAAGGGAGCGCAGGCGGCACGGCAAGCCUGAUGUGAAAGCCCGCGGCCCAACCGCGGGACUGCAUUGGGAACUACCGGGCUGGAGUACCGGAGAGGUAGGCGGAAUUCCUAGUGUAGCGGUGAAAUGCGUAGAUAUUAGGAGGAACACCAGUGGCGAAGGCGGCCUACUGGACGGUGGCUGACGCUGAGGCUCGAAAGCGUGGGGAGCAAACAGG
Molecule: ribosomal RNA, 253 nt
Filed under: uncultured bacterium
Lineage: Bacteria
Description: partial 16S ribosomal RNA
Rfam family: Bacterial small subunit ribosomal RNA
Source: RNAcentral